This 336-nucleotide unclassified non-coding RNA is filed under the name soil metagenome. Its description in RNAcentral is "partial contains 5.8S ribosomal RNA, internal transcribed spacer 2, and large subunit ribosomal RNA". The stretch from base 1 to 120 matches the Rfam family "5.8S ribosomal RNA", at positions 35 to 154 of the family's 154-position model. The record is from RNAcentral.
GAUGAAGAACGUAGCGAAAUGCGAUAAGUAAUGUGAAUUGCAGAAUUCAGUGAAUCAUCGAAUCUUUGAACGCACAUUGCGCCCGCCAGUAUUCUGGCGGGCAUGCCUGUUCGAGCGUCAUUUCAACCAUCAAGCCCCAGGCUUGUGUUGGGGACCUGCGGCUGCCGCAGGCCCUGAAAACCAGUGGCGGGCUCGCUGUCACACCGGGCGUAGUAGAUUUUAUCUCGCUCAGGGCGUGCUGCGGGUCCCGGACGUUAAAAGCCUUUUUUUACCCAAGGUUGACCUCGGAUCAGGUAGGAAGACCCGCUGAACUUAAGCAUAUCAAUAAGCGGAGGA